CUGGCCACAUCCCCAUCUUAUCGCUUUAUCUUCCAUUGAGCAGAGGUUCUGCCAGGUGCAGGGGACAAGGGAGAAGAAAAGACACGCACAUUCUCCUGGGCUUCAAAGUUGUCCCAUCCUUCUGUGAUGUCAUAAUCUGAGCCAUAGCCCACAAAUGUGAACUCCAACAACCCCCAAACCCAGUCCUCACCUCCCACAUGCUUUUCAUCACCCGCUCUCACAUCCCAUCUGGGGCCUCUGCUUCCAUCCUACCAUUUCGCAAGCCUGGCCAACUCAAGCUCCGUGUGCUGCACCUAGAGCAGCCCAUCUCUGUGUCAGGGAGGUGAGCUGCUCAGUUGCCAGAGUAUCAACCUGAGCCCAGGACACUGCCAGACUGCUGAGUCAAAGAGGGUUUAGCAGCCCAUUUUCAUAGACAGACAGGUGAGAGGAGGAUGCUGGACAUGGUCCCAGAGACAUGGGGACUCAAGAAACAUGAAGAUCUGUUCACAGCUAAGGGCACAUUUCCAUGCCGAGAAAUCAGGCGUGAGCGCAAGAGUCCUAUCGUCUACCAGAAAAAGAAAUCUUUGGGAGCAUUCAAGGAGGAAUGGCUUCAUGAUGGCAAUGAGCGGCAUCGCCUGAAAGACAGCCUUCGAGAGUCUCCCAGAGCCGCUGAGGAGCAAGGCACUACCUGCUCUCACUCUUCUGUUAUCUUCAACCCAUCUUCUUUGCCCUAAACUCCUAGGCUCCCCCACCUACAUUCCACCAUAUUGAAGGGCUUACCUGUCUGGUGCCAGCAAAGACAGAGGUGAGCUGGUAUUAUGAAG
RNAcentral lists this long non-coding RNA (803 nucleotides) under Homo sapiens (human). Its description in RNAcentral is "non-protein coding lnc-FBLL1-4:2". The record is from RNAcentral. Lineage: Eukaryota; Metazoa; Chordata; Mammalia; Primates; Hominidae.